Molecule: small nucleolar RNA, 138 nt
Filed under: Suricata suricatta (meerkat)
Lineage: Eukaryota; Metazoa; Chordata; Mammalia; Carnivora; Herpestidae
Description: Small nucleolar RNA SNORA68 (ENSSSUG00005000802.1)
Rfam family: Small nucleolar RNA SNORA68
About the family: U68 is a member of the H/ACA class of small nucleolar RNAs (snoRNAs) which act as guides in the the modification of uridines to pseudouridines.
Source: Rfam by way of RNAcentral
CUGGCACGUAAUAAGAAUUCCACCAGCGCUGUUCCUCAUAACAGCAGUUUAAACAGAGGUGCUGACAGAAAGUGGAUCUUGUCGCCUUUGGGGGGCUGUGGCCAUGCCCCUCAAAGUGAAUUUGGAGGUUCUACACCC